This 915-nucleotide small RNA is filed under the name Pongo abelii (Sumatran orangutan). Its description in RNAcentral is "processed transcript". Lineage: Eukaryota; Metazoa; Chordata; Mammalia; Primates; Hominidae. The record is from RNAcentral.
CCUCCAAACGUCGGAGAAUAUCCUAUCAGAGAGACUCUGAUGAAAAUCUAACGGAUGCUGAAGGAAAAGUAAUUGGUCUCCAGAUAUUCAAUAUUGAUACAGAUAAAGCAUGUGCAGUUGAAACUUCUGUAGAUCUUUCUGAGAUAUCAUCUAAACUUGGUUCAACACAGUCUGGAUUUUUAGUUGAAGAGUCUCUUCCCCUUUCAGAGCUCACAGAGACUUCAAAUGCCAGAAAUCCAACUCAGCGAAUCUCCUUGCCUUCUCUGUACCUGCCUCAGAGCUGCUAAUAUUUGCACUGAAGGUUGCUGACUGUGUAGUGGGCAGAGGACCAAGUGAUGCCGUUUCACCUGACACGUUCACAGCAGAAGUGAGCUCAGAUGCAGUCCCUGAUGUCAGGUCACCAACUACUCCAGCCUGCAGGAGAGACCUUCCCACCCCCAAGACCUUUGUACUUCGUUCUGUACUGAAGAAACCCUCUGUUAAGAUGUGUCUAGAGAGCUUACAGGAACACUGUAACCACCUCUGUGAUGACGAUGGGACUCAUCCGAGCUUAAUCUCAAAUCUCCCAAACUGUUGGAAAGAGAAAGAAGCAGAAGAUGAAGAAAAUUUUGAAGCACCGGCCUUUCUAAAUAUGAGGAAGAGGAAGAGAGUUACUUUUGGAGAGGACUUAAGCCCGGAAGUGUUUGAUGAAUCUUUGCCAGCAAAUACUCCAUUGCGUAAAGGAGGAACACCUGUUUGUAAAAAGGACUUGAGUGGUCUCAGUUCCCUGCUGCUUGAGCAGUCACCUAUUCCUGAGCCAUUACCUCAGCCAGAUUUUGAUGACAAGGGGGAGAAUCUUGAAAACAUAGAACCACUUCAAGUAUCAUUUGCCAUUCUCAGUUCUCCUAAUAAAUCAUCAAUUUCUGAGACCCUUUC